RNAcentral lists this ribosomal RNA (949 nucleotides) under uncultured archaeon. RNAcentral describes it as "partial 16S ribosomal RNA". It matches the Rfam family "Archaeal small subunit ribosomal RNA", at positions 42 to 1000 of the family's 1478-position model. The record is from RNAcentral.
UUCUAAGCCAUGCGAGUCAAGGGGKSGMAAACRCCGACRAACUGSUCAGUAACACGUUGAUAAUCUGYUCWUAGGUCUGGAAUAACCUYGGAAACCUGAGGCUAAAUCCGGAUGAGAGACUCGUUCUGGAAAGAAGUGUCUCUAAAAGGCAACGCCUAAGGAUGWGUCAGCGGCCGAUUAGGUAGUUGGUGGGGUAAAGGCCCACCAAGCCUACGAUCGGUAGKGGCCUUGGAAGAGGUUGCCCCGAGAAGGGAACUGAGAUACUGUCCCUAGCCCUACGGGGUGCAGCAGGCGCGAGAACUCUACAAUGCACGAAAGUGUGAUAGSGGAACCCUGAGUGCUCAGCUUUGCUGGGCUUUUGUCAAGAGUAAAAAUCUUGGCGAAUAAGUGGUGGGUAAGACGGGUGCCAGCCGCCGCGGUAACACCCGCGCCACAAGUGGCGAUCGUUAUUAUUGGGCCUAAAGCGUCCGUAGCAGGCGCUGCAAAUCUUCUGUGAAAUUGUUGCGCUUAACGUAACAGCGUGCAGAAGACACUUCUGUGCUUGGGACCGGGAGGAGUCAGAGGUAUUUCUUGGKGAGCGGUAAAAUGCUAUAAUCCAAGAAGGACCAMCGAUGGCGAARGCAUCUGACUAGAACGGAUCCGACUGUGAGGGACGAAAGCUAKGGGAGCGAACCGGAUUAGAUACCCGAGUAGUCCUAGCCGUAAACUCUGCKAGYUAGGUGUUGCGCAAUCUUAGGGAUUGCGCAGUAUCGAAGCGAAGGCGAUAAGCUCGCCGCCUGSGAAGUACGGUCGCAAGGCUGAAACUUAAAGGAAUUGGCGGGGGAGCACUACAAGGGGUGCGGCGUGCGRUUUAAUCUAACUCUACRCAGAKUAUCUCACCAGCAGCGACGGCWGGAUGAAAGUCAGAUYAARGUUUWUUCUUGACGAGCCGAGAGUUGGUGCAUGGCCU